Trachemys scripta elegans is the source of this 3945-nucleotide long non-coding RNA. RefSeq lists it as uncharacterized. Lineage: Eukaryota; Metazoa; Chordata; Testudines; Emydidae. The record is from RefSeq and is a predicted model, not a curated record. The transcript is spliced from 7 exons.
CCCUGAAAGAGUUAAUCAAACAGCAUUAAUAUGCCAUUGGAAUGUUGGUUUUUUUUUUUCCUUUUAGGAACGGGAGAGGAUUUACCUUGGUUUUAAAAAGAAAAACCACCACAAAGUUGUCCAUGUUGUCAGUGGCACUUGUUCGAGAUUUGCAUUGCUGACUACCGACCCCAAAAGAGUUAACCGAGUAGGUGUGACUAAGCAGCAGAGAAAAAGAUGCAAUCGUGAGAGGUUUGGAACCAAAGCAAAAAAACGGAGGUGAGGAGCAUUAAUAAAAACAAGAAAAGGGCAGAGGUGCAGAGUCCAGCAGUGACUGACUUUCUUGAUUUGACUGGCCCUGGCAUUGUUGGCAUCAGCUCUCCUGGGAAAGCUGCAGUUCCGCUGUUAUAACACAGGGAGCAGCCUGGAGAAUUUUGAGCUGCGUCACAGAGCUCUGAGAGAGAGAGUGAGAGAGAGAGCAAGCUCCCUCGAUAGGUCUACUAGCAACAGCCCUGCUGCAGCAAGGGGGGAGAGAGAGAGGCAGCAAGAGAGAGAGAGACAGAAGUAAUAACAUCAUGGACUGGGCUCCUGCAACCGGCCAGCUUAAUUUUUAAAAAAUUUAUUUUGGCUUAAUUGAUAUUGGAGGGUUCGCCCAUUGACGAUGCCGGAGACACGAUGCGUUUAAUCCCGCGGGGAGGGAGGGUGGGCAGACGUCGGAAGGGUUAACGGGAGGAAAAUUCUGGAACAUUCUAUUCUGCGGCGCUGCACAGCGAGCGAGCGAAGGGCUAAGGACUGCGCAGAUGUUUAACGGGCAGAGGUCUUCGGCUCGGGGUCCGUCUUUUCCACUUUCAGUUAUGCAAAGUAACAAAAAGCAAGGGAAGAAUGUGACAAACUCUUGGAGGUGGUUUGUUAUGUUAUUUAUGCAGAUAACACUGCCAGAACCAAGUAUUUCGUAGCUUGAAUUACUUCAGUGACAGAGAUCGAUCUUGGAAUAACUGUGCUCAUGCCCAGAGAGAGUUACCUUCCACAGCAGGGUGGACCAUCGACCACCUCCUGCAAGGUCAUUCUGCUGUCUCACCAUCAGCCACUAACAGUGCUGCCUGACCUCAUGGACAUCCUGUAUUAGAUGCUCAGGCAAGCCACAGACUUUGGAAAGAACCGCAUCAGCUAUCAGAGAUUCCUCUUUUCAUGAAAGGAAACUUGGAUUCCAGAGACAGAAAAGGCACUCUCCAGUGUGCACUGCUGAAAGUGCACAUCCUCACUGGUCCAUCCAGUCAGCCUCUAGUCUAACCAGCAGACACAGCGUCAUCCCUGGAAGACGUCCAAGAGAAGACCAUAGCUGGUGGGGAUGAAGAGUGCCCACAAGGCGGAACAGAAGCCCUGAAGUCUUCUUGCUCCAAGACACAUUUUCUUAGAUGAUGGUUACCAUACUGCAUGGUGCUAGCCAUAACUAUGGACUCUGGAAGAGGAAGGUGACGAGCAGAGGUUCUUUAGGGAAUGCUUUGGCAAAGAGGAGUGAAGACGUACAGAAGGAUCUAUAGAGGACAAGCAUGAAAUUAUUAUUUCUUUCAGGAGUGUGCUUCACAGCCUAGGACAGCUGUAAAGAAGGCUCUAUCUCCCACUCCCUCAGGUUUAUUUCUGGGCUUUUUUUGUGUGUUAAAUGGGCACAGGUGUGUCUUUAACAGAGGCAGGCAUUUAGGCUAGUUUGGGCUUGUCCCACUCAGCCAAGAAAGGGUUCAUCUUUUCUCUCCCAAGCCCAAGUGAAUGGUUUGUGUUUAAAAGUGAUCUGCUGAAACUUGAGGUGGUGGUAUUUUUUAUUGCAACGUAGAUGAAAUGAACUGACAAAUCUUAGUUUCAGGAUUUUGCAUUUCAGUGGUCUAACCCUCAACUAAGGAGAUGUUUUUAAUGGCUGAAAAGGGGCUGGUGGAGUUCCAGCUGGAAAAUCACUGGGAGAAGAAUGGAAUUAUACAAAAUAAUUUUAGUAAUGAGGCCCAGUUAUGUAUGGCUCUUCAUUACUUCAGCUUUUAGCAAACGAAACGGAGUGAUUCACCCAGAUUGGCAGAUUAGGUAGGAUAAAGGCAGCUAUUUUAAAAUAUAAAUUUCUAGGAAGUAACUGAAUAGGGAGACUUUUGGAACUCUGGGAAAUGUUAUUUUGGGAUGGGCCUUAGGAGGAGUACCCAAGCUGAAAAGCUAAGUGUUAUUUUGAACAUUAUUCAAAGCCAGUUUAAAAAACUUGAACCUUGCUUGGUUAGCCAGCGUGGAAGUAGUCACACCAUGUUGGAAAUGUGUUUUGUAAUGGUUUUUAUUGUUCUGAAGAAACUGGGUUGUCCUCCCCAAAUUACAGAAUAUCAUUCAUUCCAUCAAGGUAUGAGAGCAACUGUAGUGUAUGAAAACAUAGACUCAAAUGCCUUUAACAUUAACAACGGGGUGAAAUGGGUUUGUCUUACUUAGCCCCUGGGCUCUUUAACAUCUACUACAUCAUUCCUUCUUCUUCAUGCAUUUAAGGACAGCAAUGAUGGCAUUUAUUUGUGAACUAGACUAGAGGGAGGCUUGUUCAAUAUCACUCAGUUUAGAGGGAAAGCCAAGGAGAGAAAGCUGGUUCUGAGAGAUUUCCCGUUUGCAGGAGACGCAGCCUUGGUUACCCACAGUCAAUCUUCCCUGAAAAAUCUCUUUGGUAGAUUUUCUGUGUUAUGCAAGAGCUUCGGCUCUUCGCCUUAACAGUUAGUUUCAAGAAGACUGAUUGUAUACUGAAGGGUGGAAGAACCAAUACCUGACAUCACUCUGGAGGGUAAAUCUCUUGGCAUCGUCAACAGCUUUUGCUAUGAUUGGCAGGAAUCUUGACCCUCAGACUGAGCUAACAGGAUUGGAAAAGCAGCUAAGAAUUUUGGGCUGUUAGUCAACAGUUUUCUGUUAGUCCAUGCACGUUUCUCUGAGGUGAAGAUGCGAAUCUAUGAGAGCACUUGUGUGCUGUCAGAAAUGUGGGCUACAUGUGGUGGGCACAGCAGGAGACUGAAUAGCUGUCACAUGAGAUGCCUACACAAGAUCCUGGAAAUUAAGUGGGAAGACAAAAUACCAAACACAGAAGUGCUGGAGUGUGCAGGACUGACACACACAAACCACUAUCAAGAAGAGGAGGUUGCGAUGGCUCAGUCAUGUCGGAAGACUGGGAGGAGACCGUAUCCCCAAGAAUAUUUUGUAAAGCGAGUUUUGAGAUGGCUCUAAAUAGUGGUCGCCUUUUAUGGUGGUACCACAAUGUGUGCAAAAAUUAUGUGAAGUCGUUCAACAUCAGCGUAGAAAGCUGGGAGGAGUGAGCAGAACCCUGUCCAAUCUGGAGGGACACUCUGGCAAUGGGUGCAGCUCCUCAUGAAGCAGCUUUGACCCAGAGGAUGAAAGCAAAGUGAGAAAGAAGGAAGUGUGCUGUAAUCUUGGACUCCAACUCAGACAACGCAUGGAUCUGAAAUUUGUAACAAGCUGUGUCACUCUCGCAUUGGACUUGUCAGCCAUAAGUUGAUUCAUCAAGGCACAUGACUGGAUCAGUGGUUGCCUAUGGUAGGUCAGUGUGGAUGGAUCUGAACAAUGUUCUGUCAAACGCUAUAAUACUUCCUUUUAGUUGGAAGUGUCUUCAGUUUAAACAGCUGCAAACGUGGUUUAAAGAUAGGAGCCUACCUACAUUGGGCUAAUGAUCCUUACAUGCUGUUUGGCUCUUUUCAGUUUCCAGGACAAACAGGGGCUCAGUAAUAGAAGAGUAUUUAAUGCUGUCCUAUUCACGAACCUACAUUUUGAGACCGUGACCAUUUUAGCAACAACAACAAAAAAAAAUUGACUUAACGUUCUGUAGUUAAGACAGUGUCUUCCAUUAAGGACAAAGAGUGAUUAGUAACAGGAUAUUUUGGGAGACGGGAGAGAUUCCAGAAGACUGGAAAAGGGCAAAUAUAGUGCCCAUCUAUAAAAAGGGAAAUAAAAACA